Molecule: long non-coding RNA, 1029 nt
Filed under: Anas platyrhynchos platyrhynchos (common mallard)
Lineage: Eukaryota; Metazoa; Chordata; Aves; Anseriformes; Anatidae
Description: lncRNA (ENSAPLG00000025153.1)
Source: RNAcentral
CUCCGGCUGGAGCUCCCUCUGCACGGCAUAAUGGGAUCUGCUGAUAGCUGGGCCUCUUCUAGCUCUGCCUGAUUUCAGAUCCACUUUCAAUCAAUAAGAACCCUUUUAAAAUCAGGCAAAAUCUGACCCUGAAAGGCAGUUCAGCCCAUCGGCGAAGUAGAUCAGUUCCAUCCAGAGUGCAGACUGUUUUGCAGGUACUGAUGAAAAAAUACUAUACAAAGACCAGCGUCUGUUUUUGCAAUGUAUUUCACUAAUUCUUCGUGUUCGGUGAUAUAUUAAUAAUUAUUUGCUGUUUUUCUCCAGGAAAGAAAGCAGGACAAUUGCUCUGAGUCAUGACUGAUGCAAUCUGGAUACUGCAAGGUUCUCUUCUGCUCCUCUGAAGCUCCAAAACUUUGUGCUUAGAGCGGCAGAGCCAGAGGUCAGCAGCACCACGGGGCCAGGUGAUGCUUGCAGUGCUCAUCCCCUGGCUGUUGCAGCUGCAUCCUGUGCAUCACUGAGAGGCAAUGUCAGCGGGAAGGUGAGCAGAGAGAGAGAAGGUGGAAACUCUCCGGCUUCUCACAAGUCCCACAGAGCAUCAUUUGUGGACAAACAUGUCUGAGUUGCCUCUUACUACCUUGUUAUUUGUGUACUAUCAUUAACUCUUUAUUUUAAAUAUUAAAGAUAUUUUCUCCUAGAAAUAUGGUGUUGGUUCAAAUAUUUGGUAGGUAUUUCUGAACUGCAUUUGCAAUUUGCAACACUUCAGGCUGUGUCUUACCACUUCAUUGAAACAGCAGAACUGAAAUAAGUGCUUAUAUGGCUAAUCAACACAAUCUUCCCUAAACUUGUAAACGAUGUACGCAGCCCUCUCCUCCUACUUCAGGAAGCUGUAAGAAGUGGUAUGGGCAAAUAGCUGGUCUCUGCUUCUCUUCGUAGGCAGGAGACGUGGCAGGAGGUCUGCCACAUAGGCACACCACAUGGCAAGUACUGUUCACGUACUCAGCUCUGGCUCCUGAUGCUCAACAAAAGCCAAGCAGUGCUGAGCUUCCUGCC